UUCUUUCCAGCCGAGGAUUGAACCCAUGCAUUGAGCUACAUCCCCAAUAUGUUCUGUUAUUAUUAUUAUUAUUAUUUUUUUUAAUUUGAGACAAGAAUUCACCAAGUUACUGAGGGUGGGCUCAAACUUUCGAUCCUCUUGCCUCAGCCUCCUAGAGUGGUGAAAUUACAGAUGCGGGACACCACCCUCAAUGACAGCUUGAACUACAAGGGGCCUGUGAUGGUGACUGACAGCUGGCCAGUGUGGUCUUUAGGAGUGUGAACUCACAUUGGCCUGAGUUCACUGAUUCUGCCACCAAGGAGGUGACCUCGUCCAAGUUAGACUCGGUGCCUCAAUUUACCCAGUGGAACUCAGAGAGCUGGCCUGGAGGUCACCCCACCCCCAUCGCCACUGAAAGGAGCCAAAGAGGGGGCAGGGGGCAGAACUGGGGCUCCCUCUUUGGCUGUGCUGCCCGUGGCUAUCUAGCAGAACGACCCUGGCGAGCCUGGGAGUGGGGAGACGCAGAUGGCUUCGACCUUGGCCCGGCGCCGGCACCGUGACUCAUUUUCUUCAUCCGUCCAUGAGACCAUCGGACUGGAUGUUCUGGAAGAGUCCUUCAGGGCCUGAAUCAAAUUUCUCCUGCACUGGCUCCCUUCCCCUGGCACUGCCGGCUCCUCCGCAGCCUAAAUGCUGCAGGGGCGGAGUGUGUACGUACUUACGAGGGGAGCGGCGCCAGAUUUUUGCUUGACCAGACUUGGACUCCUGAGCCUUCCGCUGGGAAACCAGUGCUAGCCGGAGCCCCCCACCGCCCACAUCUCUCAGGAUCCCUCGCCAGGUGAUGCGGGAUCGCCCCUACCUGCCUUCAGCUAUAACCGUGCUGGGCGGCUUUAGAUCGAACCCCUCACCCUUCGUGUUUCCUCUUAGACAUUUCCCAGCCGUGCCCCACCCUGCUCCUUGGCUAGGUCUCCCUUCCUGCCCCCCGGAACUUGAGCCCACAUUCCCCACUGCUGAACCCCACCUCAGUGGUCCUGUGCUUGUCUCAAGGGUCCUGAAUAGACUGUGCUUUAACGAAUGUCCCUGAAUAGUGGAGUUUGAAUCCAAGACCUUCCCGCCGAGCUGCAUCCCCAGGCCCUUUAAAGAUUUUUUAAAAAUGUGUUUUAUUUUCAGGGAGGUAGAUCUUUUUUUUUUUGGUACCGGGGAUUGAACUCAAGACCUUGUGCUUGCUAGGCAGGCGGUGGAACCACUGAGCUAAAUCCAUGGCUCAGAUCUUUUGCAAAUAGAAAAAAGACCAAGAGAUGAAGAAAGAAGGGGGAGGAAAGAAAAAGGGGAUGUAAAAAGAAUUAAGAUGUGUUAUGUACAUGUACCAACUCCCCAUGAUGAAUGUAAUCACUAUGUACUAAUAAAAAUAAAAAUUUAAAAA
This 1399-nucleotide long non-coding RNA is filed under the name Heterocephalus glaber (naked mole-rat). Its description in RNAcentral is "lncRNA (ENSHGLG00100051709.1)". Lineage: Eukaryota; Metazoa; Chordata; Mammalia; Rodentia; Bathyergidae. The record is from RNAcentral.